Long non-coding RNA from Oncorhynchus tshawytscha (Chinook salmon), 1554 nucleotides. The record is from Ensembl. NCBI's taxonomy places the organism in Eukaryota, Metazoa, Chordata, Actinopteri, Salmoniformes, Salmonidae.
GGCGGAUAUUUUAUUUUGAUUGAACCUUUAUCUAGGCAAGUCAGUUGAGAACAAAUUCUUAUUUACAAUGGCGGCCUACCAAAAGGCAGAAAGGCCUGAGGGGCCUGGGAUUAAAAAUAAAAAUAUCUUUUAUGGUUUUAUUUGGUAAAUCAAGUGAGGUUGGUUCCAUAAAACAUAUAUAUAUACAAAUUACACUUCAGAGGUUAAUGUUUGUGACUAUAUAAAGCACAUUACAUUUGCAUAUCAGUCAACACAUUGACAGACCGGUCUUGGGGAUUUAACCAGAAGCUAACUAAAUGCUAUUGUCGGUACAUAGAUUACAAUAGAGUUCUAACCAUUAGACUACGUGUAUGUGCCUGGUUACCCAGGAACCGAACAGAAGGGACCAGGGGAAAAACAAACACAGAUCAUUAUGUUCCUGAAGUGCUUUUAUCUUUACACUGAGCAGCAGUUUUUCCAGGUCACUGGGUAGUUGUGUUGGGAACAUCACAGAGAGAGAACCCAGGCAACAGAUUUCUGCUGCCUGUCUCUCUCUAGCUCUGAACCAGGCAACAGAUUUCUGCCUGGCAACCAGCCAGUAUCAGGAGAAAAGGGGAACAUCUUGUCCCUUCAGUGGUGCUGCACAGAGAAGAACAGGCUGCGGACAAGUUAUGAAACGAAGAAAGGUUGUGAGGGGGGAAAUUAAUAAAAGAAAGAGGAGAGUAGGGGCAGAGGGGGGUAUAACUGGACUGUGUGUUUGAUUGAAUUCACAUCGUAUACCAAUGUAUGGAAUAAUAUACAAAGGGGGGUCUUUUCAAUCCAUAUCGAGGAAGUUCAGCGUUACGGCGUGAUUUACAUUUUAAAAGGCGAUGUUCACGGUAAAACGCUGAAAUAUGUCGGCUCAAUCAGAAAUGGCCUUUAAGUUUCGAUAGUGUGCGAUCUGUAACGCUUCGGCGAAUAGAGGUUGAAUAAAGGCUGACGUCUGUUUUAGAGAGCGCUUGCAGAAAUCGCUUAUUUUUUCUUUCUUCUCACCCUUCUGCCUUCAACGAAAUAGGAGUCAGGGUAGGAUAGGAAGUGACGCAAAAUGUAAAACAGGUCCAACAGCGACUGGCUUGAUCAAGUCCAUAUUUCUGUGCUGAGAGGACAGACAGAGUGGAAGGUGUCUUCUCUCUCUUGUCUUUCUUUUGGAGUCUUUUCCCUUUGUGUGUUUCAACCUGUUGAUUGGUGGUGGUGUGUCUCUACUGGACCGCUCUGUUGGCUGGGGGUGCCGGGUGAGGGUGGGCUGGAGGGGUGGUGGUGUGUCUCUACUGGACCGCUCUGUUGGCUGGGGGUGCCGGGUGAGGGUGGGCUGGAGGGGUGGUGGGCUGGGGCGCUGGACCGGGGUGCUGGACUGGGGGCGCCGGGUGAGGGUGGGCUGGAGGGGUGGUGGGCUGGGGCGCUGGACCGGGGUGCUGGACUGGGGGCGCUGGGUGAGGGUGGGCUGGAGGGGUGGUGGGCUGGGGGCGCUGGACGGGAAGGUGCGUGGUUUGGGGCUCCCCAGAACCACACUGACCCACCAUCCUUUAGAUAUCCCCC